Molecule: ribosomal RNA, 465 nt
Filed under: Vreelandella stevensii
Lineage: Bacteria; Pseudomonadati; Pseudomonadota; Gammaproteobacteria; Oceanospirillales; Halomonadaceae
Description: partial 16S ribosomal RNA
Rfam family: Bacterial small subunit ribosomal RNA
Source: RNAcentral
CCUACGGGGGGCUGCAGUGGGGAAUAUUGGACAAUGGGGGGAACCCUGAUCCAGCCAUGCCGCGUGUGUGAAGAAGGCCCUCGGGUUGUAAAGCACUUUCAGUGAGGAAGAACGCCUGGUGGUUAAUACCCAUCAGGAAAGACAUCACUCACAGAAGAAGCACCGGCUAACUCCGUGCCAGCAGCCGCGGUAAUACGGAGGGUGCGAGCGUUAAUCGGAAUUACAGGGCGUAAAGCGCGCGUAGGUGGCUUGAUAAGCCGGUUGUGAAAGCCCCGGGCUCAACCUGGGAACGGCAUCCGGAACUGUCAAGCUAGAGUGCAGGAGAGGAAGGUAGAAUUCCCGGUGUAGCGGUGAAAUGCGUAGAGAUCGGGAGGAAUACCAGUGGCGAAGGCGGCCUUCUGGACUGACACUGACACUGAGGUGCGAAAGCGUGGGUAGCAAACAGGAUUAGAUACCCUGGUAGUC